GCUGUAAGUUUUUUUGAAAAUUAUCGAAUUACCGUUUAUUAAUACCUUUUUUGCCCUAUGGCGUUGCUAUGGAUGAGUGAAAUAAUCAGCGAAACAUUCUUCACAUCUUUCAUAACAUACUAACGAGCGAGUCAAAAAAUAUUCGUACCUCUAACGGUAAACUGUACUUUCUGUGGAAUUGGCGUAAAUUUGGCACUAACUUCAUAGGUGGACUACGCAAUUUUACGAAUCAAAAAGGAAAACAAUUUCCAUUUUACAUAAUUUAGGACACCUUUGGACCAGCUACAGAGUUUGCUAAUGUGCCGUCCCAAGAUGCAUACUGCUGCUACGUUAUGAAAGUUUUGACGUUGGCUUGGAGGAGGGCGUUUGGAGAACGAAAACGAACUCUAGAAUGUUAAAUACCUCACAAAUUGUUGUUGGGUUUUUAUAUGUUCCAUUUUGACAACUUCAUAAAUAGAUCUUGUUGCACUA
Long non-coding RNA from Dendroctonus ponderosae (mountain pine beetle), 471 nucleotides. RefSeq lists it as uncharacterized. NCBI's taxonomy places the organism in Eukaryota, Metazoa, Arthropoda, Insecta, Coleoptera, Curculionidae. The record is from RefSeq and is a predicted model, not a curated record. The transcript is spliced from 3 exons.